ACUCCUACGGGAGGCAGCAGUGGGGAAUAUUGCACAAUGGGCGCAAGCCUGAUGCAGCCAUGCCGCGUGUAUGAAGAAGGCCUUCGGGUUGUAAAGUACUUUCAGCAGUGAGGAAGGUGUUGUCGUUAAUAGCGGCCUCAUUUGACGUUAGCUGCAGAAGAAGCACCGGCUAACUCCGUGCCAGCAGCCGCGGUAAUACGGAGGGUGCGAGCGUUAAUCGGAAUUACUGGGCGUAAAGCGCAUGCAGGUGGUUUGUUAAGUCAGAUGUGAAAGCCCGGGGCUCAACCUCGGAAUAGCAUUUGAAACUGGCAGACUAGAGUACUGUAGAGGGGGGUAGAAUUUCAGGUGUAGCGGUGAAAUGCGUAGAGAUCUGAAGGAAUACCGGUGGCGAAGGCGGCCCCCUGGACAGAUACUGACACUCAGAUGCGAAAGCGUGGGGAGCAAACAGGAUUAGAUACCCUGGUA
RNAcentral lists this ribosomal RNA (465 nucleotides) under uncultured bacterium. Its description in RNAcentral is "bacterial SSU rRNA". It matches the Rfam family "Bacterial small subunit ribosomal RNA", at positions 335 to 792 of the family's 1533-position model. The record is from RNAcentral.